GGGUCUAUAGCUCAGGGGCAGAGCGCUCGCCUGAUAAGCGAGAGGUCGGUGGUUCGAUUCCACCUAGACCCA
RNAcentral lists this transfer RNA (72 nucleotides) under Candidatus Acetothermia bacterium. RNAcentral's name for it is "tRNA-Ile". It matches the Rfam family "tRNA". From Rfam's summary of the family: Transfer RNA (tRNA) molecules are approximately 80 nucleotides in length. Their secondary structure includes four short double-helical elements and three loops (D, anti-codon, and T loops). The record is from RNAcentral. Lineage: Bacteria; Candidatus Bipolaricaulota.